This is a long non-coding RNA of Homo sapiens (human), 393 nucleotides long. RefSeq lists it as uncharacterized. The transcript has 4 exons. NCBI's taxonomy places the organism in Eukaryota, Metazoa, Chordata, Mammalia, Primates, Hominidae. The record is from RefSeq and is a predicted model, not a curated record.
GUAUGGACUCGGGUACCAGAGACAUGAUGGCACCACUGGGUCCAGCUGGUGUCAUAAUGCUGCAGUCAACUGAGUCAACAUGAGAGUCCUCUCUGGCUCUGAGCCUGUCCUCACUGGCUGCUUCACGUCCCUCUCUAUGCUGCCAUCUCAAGUUUUUAUGGCUCAGAGAGUUCCUGUCACUUCCCUGCUGAAUUCCUGUGUUCUUCCUUAGAAACUCUAUUCUAUUUUUGAUUAUCUACUGGCUGUUUUGUUUCUUCUUCGUGGAGAAGGAACCAUUUUCUUUAAUGAAAGAUAUUGGGUGGAGAUAGAAUUAGGUAAUUUGAAGGUAGCAGUAUUUCUCUGAAUUCUAGGAAUGCUCAAGGUAUAGUCCAUAUAUUUUUAUUUGUUUUACUU